RNAcentral lists this long non-coding RNA (398 nucleotides) under Sparus aurata (gilthead seabream). RNAcentral's name for it is "lncRNA (ENSSAUG00010002612.1)". Lineage: Eukaryota; Metazoa; Chordata; Actinopteri; Spariformes; Sparidae. The record is from RNAcentral.
GCGGACUGAGUGCAGCGGAGCGCCGCGAAAAAAGUUAAGAGUUUACCGUGUGUGUGUCGGACAUGAAGAGCGCGUGAAGCUGCGGACUGAGCGCGAGACCUUCAGGACGACCACCUGCGCCGGAGUGUCAGAUCAUCCUCAUUGGCUGAAAACCAGCUGGAGGCGGAGUCAGAGUGACAGGGCCGUGUAGUGGGAGGGACUUCCUCUGAGCGAGAGGACAAGAUGCUGCUGACUUCCUGCUCCGCCCCCUACAGCUACACCUGGCUCUUGUGCCUCCUGAUGAUCCUGACAGCUCCUCGUCCAGCAGCUCUCGGGGGUGACGAGACGGAGCCGUGCGCCGGUCGCGACUGUUCCAACUGUCAGUGUUUUCCAGCCAAAGGAGCGAGGGUAAGAUCCCA